This 201-nucleotide ribosomal RNA is filed under the name Staphylococcus chromogenes. Its description in RNAcentral is "partial 23S ribosomal RNA". It matches the Rfam family "Bacterial large subunit ribosomal RNA", at positions 1209 to 1413 of the family's 2925-position model. The record is from RNAcentral. Lineage: Bacteria; Bacillati; Bacillota; Bacilli; Caryophanales; Staphylococcaceae.
GUCCUUUAGGACAAUGGUAGGAGAGCGUUCUAAGGGCGUUGAAGCAUGAUCGCAAGGACAUGUGGAGCGCUUAGAAGUGAGAAUGCCGGUGUGAGUAGCGAAAGACGGGUGAGAAUCCCGUCCACCGAUUGACUAAGGUUUCCAGAGGAAGGCUCGUCCGCUCUGGGUUAGUCGGGUCCUAAGCUGAGGCCGACAGGCGUA